This is a long non-coding RNA of Arabidopsis thaliana (thale cress), 314 nucleotides long. RefSeq annotates it as other RNA. The transcript has a single exon. NCBI's taxonomy places the organism in Eukaryota, Viridiplantae, Streptophyta, Magnoliopsida, Brassicales, Brassicaceae. The record is from RefSeq.
CAGGGCUCCUCUCUGGCUUCAACAAAAAAGUUCCCAUCAAACAGCAAGCUAAUACGAUCUCAGAAUUCUCUUCUACCACACCCUGAAAAAAAGAUGCUAAUAGCCUCGUUUAAUUUGAUUAUUUUCAAAUAACCACUUAUCUAGGCGUUCGAAGAAACCAUAAAUAUUCCCCCUUUUACCUAACGCUAAGUCACGUUUUUCUCAGGCAUAGAAGCGAACACCACGUAGUAGUCUUCCUCCGACAUCGAACUAUAACAAGUUUAGUUGUGGUUCUCUCAGGCAUUUCAUCGAACACUUUGUCUGCUUUGAUCAUC